UAAGCCGAAGCCAAUUUGGGCACCUAACUGUUAACUAGGCCACUGCUAUUUAUUAGCCUGCUUAG
Molecule: transfer RNA, 65 nt
Filed under: Pharyngocirrus uchidai
Lineage: Eukaryota; Metazoa; Annelida; Polychaeta; Saccocirridae
Description: tRNA-Asn
Source: RNAcentral